CCUACGGGAGGCAGCAGUGAGGAAUAUUGGUCAAUGGACGCGAGCCUGAACCAGCCAAGUCGCGUGAGGGAAGACGGCCCUACGGGUUGUACACCUCUUUUGCCGGGGAGCAACGCGCCACGUGUGGCGCCCCUGAUAGUACCCGGAGAAAAAGCAUCGGCUAACUCCGUGCCCGCAGCCGCGGUAAUACGGAGGAUGCGAGCGUUAUCCGGUUUUAUUGGGUUUAAAGGGUGCGUAGGCGGGGCGUUAAGUCAGUGGUCAAAUUGUGGGGCUAAACCCAUUCCCGCCAUUGAAACUGGCGCUCUUGAGUGGAAGAGAGGUGUGCGGAAUGCGUGGUGGAGCGGUGAAAUGCAUAGAUAUCACGAAGAACCCCGAUUGCGAAGGCAGCAUGCCGGCUUCCGACUGACGCUGAAGCACGAAAGCGUGGGGAUCGAACAGGAUUAGAUACCCCAGUAGUC
RNAcentral lists this ribosomal RNA (458 nucleotides) under uncultured bacterium. Its description in RNAcentral is "partial 16S ribosomal RNA". It matches the Rfam family "Bacterial small subunit ribosomal RNA", at positions 338 to 795 of the family's 1533-position model. The record is from RNAcentral.